Molecule: unclassified non-coding RNA, 1008 nt
Filed under: Hevea brasiliensis (rubber tree)
Lineage: Eukaryota; Viridiplantae; Streptophyta; Magnoliopsida; Malpighiales; Euphorbiaceae
Source: RNAcentral
AUGUAAUUAUCAAUACAAUUUCAUCUAUAAAAAAGCAUAACCACACAAAGUGAAAUUCACCAAAAUCAAUAAACUUAGAGAGAGAGAGAGUAUUAAAAACUUGAAGUAGUUGAAAAAUGGCUGGUGAGAAGGAAACAACUAAAGUGGCAAUUGAUAAGUAUAGGCGGUUCCUCCAUGAAGAUCAUGUUGCAGCUGCAGAAACUAUAGAGUGGAAACAUGGUAGCCCUCCAAUUUAUGACAGUGUUAAUAAUGUCUUUGAACAAGGAAGAACCAAGGUAUGGCCAAAAGGAUCUCUUGAAGAAACAACACAAAAUUCUAUAAAGACGUGGGAAAUGGAGAUUAAAUACAAGACUUGCGUAAACGACAUUAGGACCAUUAAUCUUGAAAAAUUUAAGCUCUUUGUUAAUGGAAGAGAAGGACUGUCAGCAGAAGAGACACUAAAAGUUGGAUGUUACAAUGCGCUAUUGAAGAAUUCAAUGCCGAAUGAAUUCAAAUACCACAAAGAAGACGAAGAGACCUUUGAAUCGUCUCACAAUGCUUUUUGGUCAGCUUUUCCAAGAGGAUUCGCGUGGGAAGUGAUCAACGUGUAUACUGGCCCUCCCGUUGUGACAUACAAAUUCAGGCAUUGGGGUUUCUUUGAAGGACCAUUUAAAGGACAUGCACCUACUGGUGAGAUGAUACAGUUCUACGGCAUUGGCAUUAUGAAGGUAGAUAAAUAUCUAAGAAUGGAGGAAUUAGAGUUAUACUAUGAUCCAGCAGAACUUUUUGGUGGACUACUCAAGGGACCAAAAAUAUCUGAAUCAAACAUUGAGCAAGGUCAGGAUGAUAAUACCACCACUCAACAGUGCCCAUUAUUCAACCACAGCUAAUUAUGUCAAAUUUCACUUCUUCAAUAAAAUUUUGGUACUUCACAAAUAAUAUUGUUUUAAUAAAGUGUAUGCAACUCUAUUUCCAAAUAGUCAUGUUAUAAUAAAGUGUAUGCAACUCUAUUUCCAAAUAGUCAUGUUA